AGUGAACGAGGGAGGAACGAGUAACACAUGCAAGUCGAGCGGAUGAAGGGAGCUUGCUCCUGGAUUCAGCGGCGGACGGGUGAGUAAUGCCUAGGAAUCUGCCUGGUAGUGGGGGAUAACGUCCGGAAACGGGCGCUAAUACCGCAUACGUCCUGAGGGAGAAAGUGGGGGAUCUUCGGACCUCACGCUAUCAGAUGAGCCUAGGUCGGAUUAGCUAGUUGGUGGGGUAAAGGCCUACCAAGGCGACGAUCCGUAACUGGUCUGAGAGGAUGAUCAGUCACACUGGAACUGAGACACGGUCCAGACUCCUACGGGAGGCAGCAGUGGGGAAUAUUGGACAAUGGGCGAAAGCCUGAUCCAGCCAUGCCGCGUGUGUGAAGAAGGUCUUCGGAUUGUAAAGCACUUUAAGUUGGGAGGAAGGGCAGUAAGUUAAUACCUUGCUGUUUUGACGUUACCAACAGAAUAAGCACCGGCUAACUUCGUG
This 484-nucleotide ribosomal RNA is filed under the name uncultured bacterium. RNAcentral's name for it is "partial 16S ribosomal RNA". It matches the Rfam family "Bacterial small subunit ribosomal RNA", at positions 29 to 507 of the family's 1533-position model. The record is from RNAcentral.